GAUUUAGAUCAUCUUUAAUAUUAAAGAACUUUGAUUAAAUUUCAGUUAUUGGAACUUAGUUUUCAGGUGAUUACAACCCCUUUUCCCGUUUCUCCAAUUCUUUUUUAAUCAGUAGUGCAUCUUUUACAUUAUUAUUAUAUCAAAAUCUGUAUUUGCAUACAUAUUUCUUCUAUACACUCUCAUGCUUGAAUUUGGCCAAGUUGGAAAGCUCGUCAACUGCUUCAACCAAGUGAUCAAGCCUAGCAACAAACUCAAUAAGCAAGGAAGUAAAUGUCGCAAGUGACAGCGCUGCAGUGCUUUCUAAUGCUUUCAUUCUGGGCACAAAGUCUACGGCAAGACCUCCGUCAUCUUCAUAAGCAUCCACUGCCCUUGACGGCCAUGAAUGCAGCCUCCUUGAUUGCUUCCUCAUCAUCUCAUGGUAAGACUCCACUGGUUGUCCUAGUGGGAUAGUCCCUGAAGGUGUGGUUUGGUUCGUUGGAUCUGAAGUCUUUACCAAGUUAUUGCUGUCAAGCUCGGGCAAUUGAUUCGAGAGAUCAUAUGGGAUAGUUGAAAGUGUAUGAGACAACUUGGGAAGCGUUUUGGAAGAGUUGUCAUUAGGCUCAAAAUUAGAUAUAAGGAGAUAGCAGUGCAUGUCUAUUGCACGUUGUAGUCGCUCAGUUGAGAUGUGAACCUUCUUUAAUAGUGAGGUUUUGAGGCUUCGCUUCAUGUCACUAAUGUCUUUGCCCAAGUUCCUUACAAGUUCUGCAGCCUGGGUUGCUGCAUCCUGAAUUUCUGACUGGAAUCUGACUCGGAGGUUGUAAGGUGCCUGAAUCUCAGAGUGUAGGACUCCAUGAAGUGCCAUAACCUCAUAAGCACAAUAUCGUAGAACUGCCCCAACCUUAACAUACUCUGACCAAGGAUAGAGGAAAUGUGGAAACCGCCCAUGUGGUGGCUCCCAUUUUGCUGAAUUAGCCAAGGAUUCAAUUUUUGCGGAGGAAUUCAGGGUAUUUCGACAUUUCCUGUAAGCUGGUUCAUCUGGAAACUCAUCCAUUACAGUCUUGGAGAACUCUGGAUGUUCUAGCCCGUCAUCUCCUAGGUACUUCUUCACACAUUCUUCAAGAGAGUCAGCCAAUGAGUUAAAGCUGCUGACUAUCUCCUUGUGCAAUUGCUCCCCAGCCCAUAUAGGAAGAACCAGAACAUUUACUAGGACUGCUACAAACCCUCCAAUGGCAAUAGAGUACAGACGAUCCAUUGCAGUCCUAAUUGGAUUCCCCAUUCGAUAUCCAGAGACUAUGAUCAAGCAGUAAGUAAAGAGUAUGACCCUGAAUCCAUAUUCAUAUGGCACAAGUGAUGGCCAUAAUUUCAUGAAUGAUGUAAUAGCCCCAAUCAGGAAGAUGCUAAUUCCAAUUAUUAUAGGCUCUGCAACCCUGCCACUACGUAGAGCUAACUGAGCAACUGCAACAGCCAAAAUCCCUGCAAGCACACUUCCAAUUGCUCGGUUGAAACCUCGAUUGAAAGUUGCACCGACUGUAUAUUCGAACAUGAUAGCAACUGUGAGGAUGGACCAGAUGAUGUUGGUGCCAAAUAUAUCAUAAGGUGCUUGGAAUAGUAUAAGCAAAGACACAAGAAGAACAGAUAGCCCAACCUUGAAUGAGAAUGUUACCCUGUUAGUAUCUUCUUUGGCAAAUUCCCACACCCUCCAAAUCCAAGCCUUACAGGCAAAUCCUCCAAUUCCAUCUUUCUUUCCAGUUUCUGGCGGCUUGACUUUGGUAUCCACCGACGGAAUGUUGAUAGCAAAACUACCCUUUUUGCCAUUCAUUCUCCAAUCAAGUAUUAUGAGAUCUUCCAACUCUUUCAGCCUACCUUGCUUUGAGUUUCCUGUAUUCUUAAAUGAUGUUGACUUGCUUUCUUGAACUAUAUUUUUCAAGAAAAACACUUUUAAAGAAAUUAUUUUAUGUGAUAUACUACUGAAAAUCUUGAAGAAAUGGAGUUUUCCAGCAGUGAGGUGAUGAACUAAUGAGAAGAGUUGUUG
Molecule: unclassified non-coding RNA, 2011 nt
Filed under: Hevea brasiliensis (rubber tree)
Lineage: Eukaryota; Viridiplantae; Streptophyta; Magnoliopsida; Malpighiales; Euphorbiaceae
Source: RNAcentral